Non-coding RNA from Gossypium raimondii (Peruvian cotton), 102 nucleotides. Lineage: Eukaryota; Viridiplantae; Streptophyta; Magnoliopsida; Malvales; Malvaceae. The record is from Rfam.
AUGCUAUGAUGAGGACACUUACGAAGCAAUUCCUUGAAUCUCUCCCACAACUCGUAUAAGGACUCGUCAUUGUUGAAAAGUAGUUAUCUUAUUUCGCAACUU